AGGAAGGAAGGAAGGAAAGAAGGAAGGAAGGAAGGAAAGGAAGGAAGGAGAAGAAAGGAAGGAGAAGAAAGGGUGACAGAGAUGAAUGAAUCAAUGUUUAAUAAUCAGCCUGUCCAUCUCUGUUGACCACAGCACUGUUCAGAAAAUCCUAGAAGUGGAACCAACCUAGGUGCCCAUCAGCCAACAGACGGAUAAAGAAAGGUGAUACAUAAACACAGUAGAAUUUCAUCCAUCUAUAAGAAAAUCCAAAUCAUAACAAUGACAGGAAAAACUGAUGGAAGCAAAGAUCAUUGUGUUAAGUGAAACAGGCCAGACUUUAAAACACAGCAUGCCCUUAAUCCCAGCAUUCAUGUGAUAGAGGCAGGGGGAUUUUCAUUAGUUCGAGGCUACAGAGUCUGGCCUACAGAGUAAGUUCCAAGACAGCCAGAGCUAUGCAGAGAGACAUCUCCAAAAGCCAAAAACCAACCAAACAACCAACCAAAAGACCAUGGCAUGCUUUAUCUUAUACUUGGAGACUAAAUUUAAGAUCAUAUGUAUGUAGCUAUCAAUGUGUGUUUGUUCAUGUACGUUUGUAAGACACAAGGUUGAAGUGGGAUUGUGACGAAGAGAUUAUGAUUCAGAGCAGGCAGCCAUGAGUAGGGGCGUGAUGUUCCAGUUAAAGGAAACGGUACAAGCCAGUACUUGGAUGCGAGAUGUGGAUGACGCUGUCAGGGAACAGCAAGCUUUUAGGGAACUCAAGAGCAAGAGUGACCCCCACCCCAAGAAACAAGUGUCCACAGGAAGGCUUCUUCCUAGAAGCAGGAAUGAAGACAGAGAAGCCCAGGGCAUCACUGACGUGAGCACAGUCGCUCUCCAAGUCACACGGGUCGUCUGCCCCACACACACACCAUUCUCCCACCCAAAAGAAAAUUCCCACAGCAUCUUAUUGCACCAGGCUUGGCUGGCUCACAGCACCUAGCUUGUCAGAAUUUCCCCAACCCGCUCCCACCUCUUAAG
This 996-nucleotide long non-coding RNA is filed under the name Mus spicilegus (steppe mouse). Its description in RNAcentral is "lncRNA (ENSMSIG00000015258.1)". Lineage: Eukaryota; Metazoa; Chordata; Mammalia; Rodentia; Muridae. The record is from RNAcentral.